AACCUCGGCUCAGGCGUGAAUACCCGCUGAACUUAAGCAUAUCACUAAGCGGAGGGAAAG
RNAcentral lists this ribosomal RNA (60 nucleotides) under Poracanthium furcatum. RNAcentral describes it as "partial 28S ribosomal RNA". The record is from RNAcentral. Lineage: Eukaryota; Metazoa; Platyhelminthes; Trematoda; Plagiorchiida; Opecoelidae.